ACUACGGGAGGCAGCAGUGAGGAAUAUUGGGCAAUGGACGGAAGUCUGAACCAGCCAAGUCGCGUGAAGGACGAAGGUGAUAAGAAUUGUAAACUUCUUUUGUCAAGGGACAAAAUCAGGCUCGAGAGCCUGACCGCGGGUACUUGAAGAAAAAGCAUCGGCUAACUCCGUGCCAGCAGCCGCGGUAAUACGGAGGAUGCGAGCGUUAUCCGGAUUUAUUGGGUUUAAAGGGUGCGUAGGGGGGCUGUUAAGUCAGCGGUAAAAGUCCGGGGCUCAACCCCAGAUAGCCGUUGAAACUGGCUGUCUGGAGCUGUCGUGAGGUAGGCGGAAUGCGCAGUGUAGCGGUGAAAUGCUUAGAUAUUGCGAAGAACUCCGAUUGCGAAGGCAGCAUACCGGCG
RNAcentral lists this ribosomal RNA (398 nucleotides) under uncultured bacterium. RNAcentral's name for it is "partial 16S ribosomal RNA". It matches the Rfam family "Bacterial small subunit ribosomal RNA", at positions 338 to 734 of the family's 1533-position model. The record is from RNAcentral.